GACGAACGCUGGCGGCGUGCUUAACACAUGCAAGUCGUACGGUAAGGCCCUUUCGGGGGUACACGAGUGGCGAACGGGUGAGUAACACGUGAGUAACCUGCCCACAACUUUGGGAUAACGCUAGGAAACUGGUGCUAAUACUGGUUAUGUGCUCCUGCUGCAUGGUGGGGGUUGGAAAGCUCCGGCGGUUGUGGAUGGACUCGCGGCCUAUCAGCUUGUUGGUUGGGUAGUGGCCUACCAAGGCGGCGACGGGUAGCCGGCCUGAGAGGGUGACCGGCCACAUUGGGACUGAGAUACGGCCCAGACUCCUACGGGAGGCAGCAGUGGGGAAUAUUGCACAAUGGGCGCAAGCCUGAUGCAGCAACGCCGCGUGCGGGAUGACGGCCUUCGGGUUGUAAAACGCUUUCAGCAGGGACGAAGCUUUUUGUGACGGUACCUGCAGAAGAAGCACCGGCUAACUACGUG
This 465-nucleotide ribosomal RNA is filed under the name uncultured bacterium. RNAcentral's name for it is "partial 16S ribosomal RNA". It matches the Rfam family "Bacterial small subunit ribosomal RNA", at positions 28 to 507 of the family's 1533-position model. The record is from RNAcentral.